UUAGUAUCUCAGUGCCCGCCUCCUGCCGCGAUGGUGGGUCAGCGAUGUGUCAGUGUUAUUACUUGUACUAGCGAUCCUCCUCCUAUCUAGGAUUUAACUGAUGUUUUCUUACUAAAAGUAUUUUUUCAUGUUUUUAAAGUGAAUUGUAAUUGUCUCGUUGUCCAACAAAUAGUUUACUCAGCGAUAUCAAACUCGUGCCUCGAAGCUGUAGGAAUCCAGCCCAUUGGUCAAGAUUUGAGGUGGAACCCAGCCCUUUCUAAACUAAAAUAACACCAACAGCAGCCACACAACAACUUCACAACUGGUGGAAGCGGUGGCCCUACCGGGCCCAACCCGAGAAGAUGGGAACUACAAACGGUCAUUCUUCCAUGACCAAAGAUGCCCGCCAUGACAACUGCCCAAUAUGUCUCGAUACAAUUGGAGACAAGAAAACUUUAAAAUGUCGACAUUAUUUUUGCACUGAAUGUAUCGACUCGGUGUUCAGGUAUAAACCCGCCUGCCCAAUAUGCAAUACUUUCUAUGGUAUUCAUCAUGGAACACAAACCGCAAGGCACCAUGACGGUGACGCGGGCAGGCAAUGUUUACCUGGCUUGACAACUGCGGAAGUAUCGCUAUUGAAUACAGAUUUCCAGCAGGCAUUCAGGGGCCUGAGCAUCCAAACCCUGGAGCCAGGUAUGGCAGCACAUCUCGAACGGCGUUCCUGCCUGACUGUGAGGAGGGGCCAGAAGGUCCUCGCGGCUGCUACAAGUAGCCUUCGACCGGAGGCUCGUCUUCACCAUCGGACAGUCUGCCACCACCGGCCUCGACAACGUCAUCACCUGGGACGACGUCCACCACAAGACCAGCAUGGGAGGGGGUCCCAGAGAUUUGGCUAUCCAGACCCGGAGUACCUGUCCAGGGUUCGCUGGAGCUCCAGCUUAAAGGGGUGACGGAAGGUGACUAAGACCCACCGCAUCCCCGCAUUCAGGACCGUUUCGUAGAAUAUAAUAUACUGUAUUAUCUAUCUAUCUAUCUAUCUAUCUAUCUAUCUAUCUAUCUAUCUAUCUAUCUAUCUAUCUAUCUAUCUAUCUAUCUAUCUUUCUAUCUAUCUAAAUCAUCAGUGUUGAACAAAAUGUACAAACAAAUAUAAUGUUCCGUUUAUAUUGAAAACGUGGAUACCAUUGGUUCUCUUAUAUCGUUACUAGAUAGGGUAAAUGUUAUUUAGCUGCACAUUUAAACCCCUGGCAUUUUUUUUAUUUGACCACAAGAGGUCGCUGUACUCUUAAAUACUGACCGUUACAGCGGCGGCUAAAUAUGAAGCAACGCCAUCGCCUCUGUCUCACGAUCCCCUCCCCAUCGCUCAUAUCCCAAAGUCGGUAAGAGGAGCAGAGCAUCAGCUACAGACGAUGAGUCAUGUUUUAGGGUUCUCAGGGCACUUUAGCCGCAGCAGCUACAUCGGAGCUGACAGCGGUUAACACAGCCUUUGUUCAUUUCAAUUAAAUUAUUUGUGCAAUAUUGUAUAUAAAACAUUUAUGUGUGAUGUAUAUGUUAUAAAGAUCUCGACCAUACGUAAAAUGUAUACUCAAACAUAGUAUGCAAUUGUUAAGCACACUGAUCAAUUAAACACCUGAUACAUAGAUA
Long non-coding RNA from Gadus morhua (Atlantic cod), 1620 nucleotides. RefSeq lists it as uncharacterized. The transcript is spliced from 3 exons. The record is from RefSeq and is a predicted model, not a curated record. Lineage: Eukaryota; Metazoa; Chordata; Actinopteri; Gadiformes; Gadidae.